This 464-nucleotide ribosomal RNA is filed under the name uncultured Gammaproteobacteria bacterium. RNAcentral's name for it is "bacterial SSU rRNA". It matches the Rfam family "Bacterial small subunit ribosomal RNA", at positions 35 to 501 of the family's 1533-position model. Lineage: Bacteria; Pseudomonadati; Pseudomonadota; Gammaproteobacteria. The record is from RNAcentral.
GCUGGCGGAAUGCUUAACACAUGCAAGUCGUGCGGUAACACUUCGGGUGACGAGCGGCGGACGGGUGCGUAACGCGUGAGAAUCUACCUUUUAGUGGGGGACAACUCGGGGAAACUCGAGCUAAUACCGCAUAUGUUCUAUGGAAUAAAGCAGGGGACCUUCGGGCCUUGCGCUAAAAGAUGAGCUCGCGUGAGAUUAGCUUGUUGGUGAGGUAAAAGCUCACCAAGGCGACGAUCUCUAGCUGGUCUGAGAGGAUGAUCAGCCACACUGGGACUGAGACACGGCCCAGACUCCUACGGGAGGCAGCAGUGGGGAAUAUUGGACAAUGGGGGCAACCCUGAUCCAGCAAUUCCGCGUGUGUGAAGAAGGCCUGCGGGUUGUAAAGCACUUUCAGUAGCCAAGAUGGGAUUAUUCGCUAAUAUCGGAUAGUCUUGACAUUAACUACAGAAGAAGCACCGGCUAAC